This 278-nucleotide ribosomal RNA is filed under the name uncultured bacterium. Its description in RNAcentral is "partial 16S ribosomal RNA". It matches the Rfam family "Bacterial small subunit ribosomal RNA", at positions 29 to 332 of the family's 1533-position model. The record is from RNAcentral.
AGCGAACGCUGGCGGCAGGCUUAACACAUGCAAGUCGAACGGGCGUAGCAAUACGUCAGUGGCAGACGGGUGAGUAACGCGUGGGAACGUACCUUUGGUUCGGGAACAACCCAGGGAAACUUGGGCUAAUACCGGAUAAGCCCUUACGGGGAAGAUUUAUCGCCGAAAGAUCGGCCCGCGUCUGAUUAGCUAGUUGGUGUGGUAACGGCGCACCAAGGCGACGAUCAGUAGCUGGGUCUGAGAGGAUGAUCAGCCACAUUGGGACUGAGACACGGCCC